This 518-nucleotide long non-coding RNA is filed under the name Salmo salar (Atlantic salmon). RNAcentral describes it as "lncRNA (ENSSSAG00000088522.1)". The record is from RNAcentral. Lineage: Eukaryota; Metazoa; Chordata; Actinopteri; Salmoniformes; Salmonidae.
AAGCGCCCGGCCCUCUCCUCGGCGUGUCUUCAGUGGAAGGAGAAGAGGAUACACGAUAACUCACUCGACAAGGACCUGAGCCCUAGGACCAUGCCUCAGGACUACCUGGUAUGAUGACUCCUUACUGUCCCCAGUCCACCUGGCCGUGCUGCUGCUCCAGUUUCAACUGUUCUGCCUGCGGCUAUGGAACCCUGACCUGUUCACCAGACGUGCUUGUUGCACCCUCGACAACUACUAUGAUUAUUAUUAUUUGACCAUGCUGGUCAUUUAUGAACAUUUUAACAUCUUGACCAUGUUCAGUUAUAAUAUCCACCCUGCACAGCCAGAAGAGGACUGGCCACCCCUCAUAGCCUGGUUCCUCUCUAGGUUUCUUCCUAGGUUUUUGGCCUUUCUAGGGAGUUUUUUCUAGGGAGUUUUUCCUAGCCACCGUGCUUCUUUCACAUGCAUUGCUUGCUGUUUGGGGUUUUAGGCUGGGUUUCUGUACAGCACUUUGAGAUAUCAGCUGAUGUACGAAGGGC